RNAcentral lists this ribosomal RNA (497 nucleotides) under uncultured bacterium. Its description in RNAcentral is "partial 16S ribosomal RNA". It matches the Rfam family "Bacterial small subunit ribosomal RNA", at positions 28 to 507 of the family's 1533-position model. The record is from RNAcentral.
GAUGAACGCUGGCGGUGUGCCUAACACAUGCAAGUCGAACGAACAGACCCUUUGUUUGCUCCUCUGAUGUCGCCGGGGGGCGUGUGAGUAAAAUAUGCUUCCCCUACCUCUUAGACUGGGAUCACAUCCGGUUGCUAGUGCUAAUACUGCAUAAUAUAUUCAACCGCUUGGUUCAAUAGUUUUAUUCGGUUUUUGUGUCACUUAUAGCUGAUUACGCGCGUCAUUAGCUAGUUGGUAAGGUACAGGCUUACCAAGGCACCGACGCGUAGCCGACCUGAGCGGGUGAUCGGCCACACUGAGACUGAGAGACGGUCCAGGCUCCUACGGGAGGCAGCAGUAGGGAAUCUUGCGAAAAGGGGGAAAGCCUGAAGGAGCAACGCCGCGUGAGUGAAGAAGGUCUUCGGGUGGUAAAACUCUGUUAGUAGGGAAGAACAAAUGUGUAUGUAACGAUGCUCGUCUUGACGGUACCUAAAGAAGAAGCCACGGCUAACUACGUG